Molecule: long non-coding RNA, 1757 nt
Filed under: Sus scrofa (pig)
Lineage: Eukaryota; Metazoa; Chordata; Mammalia; Artiodactyla; Suidae
Description: lncRNA (ENSSSCG00045034253.1)
Source: RNAcentral
AUAGGCCACAGGUGCAGCCGUAAAAAGAAAGAAAAAAGACAUGCAGGAUGCCCAGCUCAAUCUCAGCCUAGCCCCCAGCGUGGCCCAGAAGGACCUCCAACAGAUUAAGGUUUAAACAGAAGAGGACUGGACAAUCUCAACAGAUACAGAAAAGAAAUUCUCAUGCGAAGUGAAGGCAGUCCGACAAUGGGACACCAAACAUCAAAAGCUCUCACUGACAUGUGGACUCUCAAAAAAGGACACCACGAACUUCUCCGCAGAACAGGAGUUCCACAAACGCCGUGAACUUGUCAGCGCCUGGCAAGCACUUGGAGGUGGAGGUUUACGAGCUCUGCAGGUUCAAGGCUUGGGCCCCCAGAGAGAGGCAUCCAGAAGAAGUUCCACGCUCCUCGCUCCUGAGCAGGCUGUGGACAGGACACAGAAAGGGAGCAGGAAUGAAGAGAACGCGGCCGUCCACUUCUGGAACCGUCCGGAGGCUGGGGUUCACCUCGGAGGGGCAGCCCUUGGCAUCUCCUUGCCAAGAGGAGGAUGGGUGGUCUGGCUUCCUGAGGGGUUGGCUCUCAUAGGAGGCCUCUCUGCUCGGUCUGUCUAGAUGUCUCCUGCUGCUCUUGAGUGGAGAGAACGGAUCUGGGAACUGCCUGCUUUUGAGGAAUAGGCUGAGCUGGGACCAGCCGCUGGCCACCUCCCCCAAGGGGGUCUGUGCCCACUGCAACCAAGACCUUCUGAUGCAUGAAAACCAUGGCAGCUAGUGUGUGUGUGUGCGUGUGCACACGUGCGCACACGUACCAGUGUAUUUUCAUCUCUAAAUUCUGCCUUCCGCAGGUCGCAGACGGCUGCUGGCAGAUCCUGGGGGCUCCAGGCUUUCUUGGUCCAGAAUCUCUUUGUUUGCACAUUCCAGGCAGCGGUUCUGAGCGUGCGUUAAUUAGCCUGGACUGGUUAACGAGUCUGCCUUGGGAUCACUCACGGAGGCAAAGGGCUGGGAAACACGCUCAUCGGCUUAGCCCACAUCACAUGGCGUGCUUUAUCCCAGGAAUGGAGCCAGGAAUGGAGUUGGGCUCCUGGGACCCGCAGAGGCCCCCAGCUUGAGAGAUGGAGGCAGCUGGGGAGAAGGUAUAUACCGACAGGUGUCUUACCAAGGUGAGGAAGGUCUAAGGCUGCAGGCCAGAUGAUCACAAGAGUUGGGGUACGGUCACCUCAGGAGAGUGGACCUUGGUGAGUGUGUGAUGUGCGGGGGGGCCGGGGUGGUACCCUGACCCCCAGCUGUUGGUGCAGCAUCCAUUCAAUACCAGCAUAAAGAUGGCCUUGGCCCAGUGACCAUGUGGGGUUGGGAUGAGGGAGAGCUGGAGAUGGAAGCCAGGAGAUGGAAGAGGGGGCUCACCCCGGGUGCCCCAAGUGGAGUUGAGACUCCCUUAUCCUGGGCCGCUCUGAUCCAUGGUUCUGCCCAUUGCCGUGGCUUUUAGCAGCCCUGUCCCUCCGGCUGAGAGGGGCACAUCAACACUUGUGUCUAGGAACAAAUUCCAGUGCAGGGGAGCCCCUGAUGGGAGCAACAGCCCCCUGCCCUUCUCCUCUCUUCUUAGAAUCCUGGAGGGAAACAUGGAAGAAAUAAACCAUUAGAGAUUCACUUCUUUGAUGUUUUCCCACAAUUCUAAAUCAGAUGCUGAGCUUGGACCAUCUGGGGCUUGGCUGAGUUUUCAUCUACCUCCCCACCCUCUCCUUUAUAGUGUUUGUCGCCUCCUUCUAUGGUCUGUCUUUGCAAA